UGAGGGAAUAUUGGGUCAAUGGGCGCAGGCCUGAACCAGCCAAGUCGCGUGAGGGAAGACGGUCCUACGGAUUGUAAACCUCUUUUGUCGGGGAGUAACGUGCGGGACGCGUCCCGUAUUGAGAGUACCCGAAGAAAAAGCAUCGGCUAACUCCGUGCCAGCAGCCGCGGUAAUACGGAAGGUCCGGGCGUUAUCCGGAUUUAUUGGGUUUAAAGGGAGCGUAGGCCGGAGAUUAAGCGUGUUGUGAAAUGCCGCGGCUCAACCGUGGCACUGCAGCGCGAACUGGUUUUCUUGAGUGCGCGCGACGCAGGCGGAAUUCGUGGUGUAGCGGUGAAAUGCUUAGAUAUCACGAGGAACCCCGAUUGCGAAGGCAGCUUGCGGGAGCGCAACUGACGCUGAAGCUC
RNAcentral lists this ribosomal RNA (404 nucleotides) under uncultured Prevotella sp. Its description in RNAcentral is "bacterial SSU rRNA". It matches the Rfam family "Bacterial small subunit ribosomal RNA", at positions 354 to 754 of the family's 1533-position model. The record is from RNAcentral. Lineage: Bacteria; Pseudomonadati; Bacteroidota; Bacteroidia; Bacteroidales; Prevotellaceae.